CUCUUCUUCUCAUCUGCCGUGGUGGCUCGAGAGCUUCGGCGUGACUCGAAUGCAUCGAACGACUUGCGAGAGAGCCGCGGGCUGACGUGAGUCGCCGGGGGUCUAUUUUCAGUGUUAUAAAUAUACCGUAUGCGCUGAAGGGAUUUAUGGGUUUGGUAAACUAAUGGCGUUCGUUCCGCCUCCCGGCCUGACCAUUAGUAUGCUAAAAGGCUGAUACGGCCAAUAUUUGUACAGUCGCGGUGUCGUACGCGCGCGGAACAACGGAACCAUUUUACUCGCAUAUAACUCGGGUAGUGUUCUUCGAUGUGCUUGUCAUUCGAUAUACGCCUUCAAUCCGACACAC
This is a long non-coding RNA of Diprion similis, 343 nucleotides long. RefSeq lists it as uncharacterized. Lineage: Eukaryota; Metazoa; Arthropoda; Insecta; Hymenoptera; Diprionidae. The transcript has 3 exons. The record is from RefSeq and is a predicted model, not a curated record.